AGUGGGGUAUGAGCAGUGUUUUUCUUUUCAGUUCAUUGUGGAUACCACUAAAUUGGGAAAUAUAGUAGAACCUGCUUAAAAUGGUGGACUGUAUUUAUUUUCCUGCAAGAACCUACAGAAAAAGCCCAGAGUAAAACAGUUCUUAAACCUGUGUACAAAGUCAGUAAGAUAGUUUAGACUAUAUGGAAAUCACUAUAUUUUUCAAUGAGAUACACAAACAUACAUUUACACACACUUGUGUGUGUGUGUGUGUAUGUUUUUUAAAACUGUUCUAAGAUUGUGGAAAAAUGAAAUUGCUAAAGACAAGGAGUAAUUUCAGAGAAGCCAGAGUAGACAUCCAGCAGAGUGAAUGAAUGCUGAAUUCACAGACUGCUGAGGAGCAUGGCCUCUCUGGCCUGGAGCUGUGCUUCUAAUGAUCAUGCUUUAAGGACAGAAGCAAAGCCUUAUGUAUAGACAUGCAAAGCAGGGAAUCAGAUCAGAGACAUUAACAUAAAUCCGGAAAUCAGGAAGGUCUAGACAACAAGGAAAUUUGUCUUGGCUCUUGGGUGUGGGAGGAGAAUAUCAUUCUGGAUAUUCACAUGAUUUGUAACCAGAAAUCACACAAUGUGAGAUGUCUACACAGACUUAUAUACUUAUGUGUGUGCUCAUGACAUAGUCUUGAUUUUUUAAAAGUCCCUGAUCUUAUUGGUGAAGCUGAAAAAGGAUUUGGAUGAAGAAAAUGCAAAUCCUCUCUGGGGGCCUGUACCUUUAACCCAGGCUCCAGGGAACUCCUGUUGAAAAUAUGCCAAGAAAUAUAAACUCACAACCCAAGCAAUGCACAAAGAAGCUAUCAUAAAAGUCAAAAGAACAAAGGGCAGAACCAAACUCAUAAACAACCUGUUUAUUUUAUUACUGAAUAUAGGAGAUAAUAAGCAUCUUUGUGUAUUUUAUUUUAAAAGAGAUUACAAACAAGUAAGUAUAAAAAUAUUUUAAAUAAAAAGUGUUUAAAAGGAAAAAAUUUAAACUCUAUGGGAUAUGAUAAAUAGUGUUUUAGAUGUUAUUGAAAAGAUAAAUAGUGAGCUGGAAGGUAGAUCUGAAAAAAAAAUUAUCCAGAAGGAAGGAUUGAGACAGGUAAAGUAAGAAUCAAUAUUUAAAAAACCCUGAAGUUCUGAGCAUCAAAGGAAGUUACAACAUUUGUUUAAUAAAUAUUCUAAAGAAUUAGGAAUGAUUUUUGGACUAACAGUUGACCUCUCAAUCAAAACUCACCUCAAACAGGAAGAUAACUAUCUUCAAAUGGCUAAAGAAAAACUAGGGAAAAAUAAAAAUAUAUUCAAGCAAACAAAACUGAAAAUUUAUCAUUAACAGUAAAGCUACUGAUAUGCCUAAGAAAAGAAGAAAAUCGACUCCAAAAUGAAAUAUAUGCAAAAGUAAUGAUUAAGAAUAUGGUAACAUGGGGGUAGAUAAAAAAAUAACAAUUGCUAACAAUUGUGAUUAGAAAAACAGAGCAAUGUUAAAGAGUGUUGAAAUAGAAUUAAAUAGAGCUAAUUUAGAACAAUUUUAGAAUGCAUGCUGGGAGGUAGAGGGUUGAUAACAUAGGUUUUAUAUUUUACCUAAUGAUAAUAAUUAAACAUGAUUUAUCCUCAGAAUUCUUGGUAAAGUCUCAAAUACAAAAAUGAAAGAUCAGGAGAUGUAGCUAAGUGAUGGAGCACUUAACUAGCAUGCAUGAAACUGGGUUCUGUGCUGAGUACCACUCACAUGAAAAAGAAAAUAAAGAAGACAUCUGUAUCUUCUAAAUCAGGAUCAACAA
RNAcentral lists this long non-coding RNA (1786 nucleotides) under Marmota monax (woodchuck). Lineage: Eukaryota; Metazoa; Chordata; Mammalia; Rodentia; Sciuridae. The record is from RNAcentral.